CACUAUGCUCAACCCUUAACAUAGACAAUACAAACACAAUAUUGUCCGCCAGAGAACUACAAGUGAAAAACUAGAAACUCCAAGGACUUGGCGGUGCCCCAUAUCAACCUAGAGGAGCCUGUCCUAUAAUCGAUAAUCCACGUUGUACCUUACCAUUUCUAGNCAACNCAGCCUAUAUACCGCCGUCGAAAGCCUACCUUUUGAAAGAAUCAAAGUAAGCACAAUAGUCAAUAACUAUAACGUCAGGUCAAGGUGUAGCACAUGAAAUGGAAGAGAUGGGCUACAUUUUCUACCUUAGAAAACACGAACAGCACAAUGAAACCUGUACUUAAAGGCGGAUUUAGUAGUAAGACAAAAA
Molecule: ribosomal RNA, 358 nt
Filed under: Manciola guaporicola
Lineage: Eukaryota; Metazoa; Chordata; Lepidosauria; Squamata; Scincidae
Description: partial 12S ribosomal RNA
Rfam family: Bacterial small subunit ribosomal RNA (bases 52-358)
Source: RNAcentral